Molecule: ribosomal RNA, 253 nt
Filed under: uncultured bacterium
Lineage: Bacteria
Also listed under: 1 other name
Description: partial 16S ribosomal RNA
Rfam family: Bacterial small subunit ribosomal RNA
Source: RNAcentral
UACGGGGGGAGCAAGCGUUGUUCGGAAUUACUGGGCGUAAAGGGCGUGUAGGCGGCCUUGUAAGUCGGGGGUGAAAUCCACUGGCUCAACCAGUGACGUGCCUUCGAAACUGCUUGGCUUGAGUAUGGCAGAGGAGAGCGGAAUUCCAGGUGUAGCGGUGAAAUGCGUAGAUAUCUGGAAGAACACCGGUGGCGUAGGCGGCUCUCUGGGCCAAUACUGACGCUGAGGCGCGAAAGCCAGGGGAGCAAACGGG